Long non-coding RNA from Homo sapiens (human), 426 nucleotides. The record is from Ensembl. Lineage: Eukaryota; Metazoa; Chordata; Mammalia; Primates; Hominidae.
CUCUGCUUGCGCAUGCGCAAUGCCAGCCAGUGCCUGCGCGGCUUGCUCCAGCAAGGUAAAAUUUCCCACUGCGAGGCAGGCAGUGAUGCUGCGGCCGCUUCGCACUGUGGCUCCUGCCGACCGCCAGGCGCUGUUACAGUGGAUGCGAACUAACCAUGCAGCAGCAGCCGGAACCCACAGUUCACCUUGGUGCAUUCCUUUAUGAUGAAGACUUAUUGAUUCAUUAUAUGAGAAAGGAAAAAUGAGCAGAAACUACUGUAUGAUGUGCAGCUCACACCAGACAGCAACUUUAGGGUUAUCUUUCCAGUUCAGCAGUGCAACUCUAUGGAGUAGAAUUGAAAGGAGACUUUUCGCCAAUUGCAGGAAAUGGUCAUAAAAAAAUACCUGCUCACUGACAGAAUAAAGGUACCUUUUAACUUAGUCAAA